Molecule: ribosomal RNA, 301 nt
Filed under: uncultured bacterium
Lineage: Bacteria
Description: partial 16S ribosomal RNA
Rfam family: Bacterial small subunit ribosomal RNA
Source: RNAcentral
CAGCCGCCGCGGGAAUACGUAGGGUGCGAGCGUUAAUCGGAAUUACUGGGCGUAAAGCGUGCGCAGGCGGUUUUGUAAGACAGGCGUGAAAUCCCCGGGCUCAACCGGGGAGGGUCAUUGGAAACUGGGAAACUUGAGUGCAGAAGAGGAGAGUGGAAUUCCACGUGUAGCGGUGAAAUGCGUAGAGAUGUGGAGGAACACCAGUGGCGAAGGCGACUCUCUGGUCUGUAACUGACGCUGAGGAGCGAAAGCGUGGGGAGCGAACAGGAUUAGAGACCCCUGUAGUCCCUGUCUCUUAACA